This 430-nucleotide unclassified non-coding RNA is filed under the name Hevea brasiliensis (rubber tree). Lineage: Eukaryota; Viridiplantae; Streptophyta; Magnoliopsida; Malpighiales; Euphorbiaceae. The record is from RNAcentral.
ACUUGAAGCAUCAUCCAACUUAAAUACCCUGACCACUCCAUCCGCACAAGUUGUUAGCAUAACACAAAAUCAUAUCAAGCAAUUAAAAGGGUGUCUCUUAUAUUAGCAAGGUGGCAAGUAGAUGCAUCAAAUGUUAAAUAGCACAUAACUUCACAAUAUGAUGUUGAGCAACGAUGGAAGUGCAAAUCAAAGGAUUACUUGAGGUUUUUGGCAAUAUGUUAUCAACUUCUACACUGGAAUUUUAAUGGAACAUCACACGAAAAUAGGGGGAAAUUUUCUUUUAUCAACUUUCAAAAGAAUUACAAUGAUAUUUUGAAAAAAUACAUAUAGUAAGCCUUGUACCUGUUGCCAAACUCCGUCCAUCGUUAGAGAAACAUAUAUAGCCCAGUGACUGCUUCUCCAUGAUCUUUUAGAGUGUUCAAAUCCAAUG